UAGUAGAUGUGUCUGUGUGACUCCCAAA
This 28-nucleotide non-coding RNA is filed under the name Homo sapiens (human). The record is from RNAcentral. Lineage: Eukaryota; Metazoa; Chordata; Mammalia; Primates; Hominidae.